Long non-coding RNA from Cygnus olor (mute swan), 1493 nucleotides. RefSeq lists it as uncharacterized. The record is from RefSeq and is a predicted model, not a curated record. The transcript has 2 exons. Lineage: Eukaryota; Metazoa; Chordata; Aves; Anseriformes; Anatidae.
AGAAUAGGUGUUUGCAGGAGUAGACAAACUUUUUUUUCUCUUGAUAAAUAAAUGUAUUAAACUGCAAGUGGUUGCAUUAAUACUGUUGAAUAGAUAAAGAUUUUGAUUUCCUAGAUCUGUGUCUGACUUGAUUGGCAAUGUUUAGACUUCUGAAAUAAAGCAAUUGUUUCCUAUAAGUCACUGAAUUGGCAUGUAAUGGCUGCCUUGUAGGGCAGGGUGUGUUUUUUCUUUUGGUCACCAGUUUCAGGUGGUACCUUCCAUGUUUGUGUUUGCUUAUGAAUUUUAUUUUAAAAAGUAGUUAUUCUCAAAUAUAGGAAUGAAAAAUGUAGGCAAUCCCUAGCUGUUUUGCCAGAAGUUGGGUGUCAUUAAAGACAAAAAUAGCUUGAAUAUCGAUUACUGGUACUUUUUUUUUUUUUAACUUUACUCUUAUUUCAACUCUUUCUAGGAAAGAAAAAAGAAUGUAUGAAAUAGUGUUAUUUUCCAUAGCUCAGGCUGAAGUUUUAUUUUUCUUCUAAAUAUAAAAGUCAUUAUAUGCAUCUGGGAUAGGUUUUGUAAAGAUUUAUAAAGAAAGGGUUUGGGUUUCAUUUAUGUUGUUGUUGAGGUGUUUUUUUUGUUUGUUUUUCCAAAAGGAAUGUAAGAUCCCUCACAGUUUCUGUGGUUCCCUUUGGUGUCCUACUAAUCAUUUUCAAAGAAAAUAUGUUGGUAUACUCCAUGUUAUACUUCACAAAUUUAAAUGUCCAAGAGCCUUCUUCUUGACUUAGGACAAGAAUAGGAGCUGCUGUAUGGUUAUUCACAUGUUUACAGAAAUUCUAUCUAAAAUCUGUGUGGUUUUGUUUUUCUUUUUGAUGCCAGAUUCCAAAAAAAAAAAAAGAGCUAUACAAAUAUUUUGUAAUUUAGUGUUUAUAACCUCGAUUUUAUUUUUUUUUAGAUUCAAGUUUUUAUUCUUAAAUUGAAAUUUCAUUCUUCAGUAUAUAUACCUUGGUUAAUGGGUUUGUGUCAUUUGGUCCAAAGUUUGAAAACAAAUUAGAAUGAUGUCUGACUGCCCUACAUAAAGUUAAGUCUAUAAAAUUUAAUUUUUAUGGAACUAAGCCAUGGAAGAAGUUGGAGAGGGAUAUUUAUAAAACCUUGAUUGCCUCCUGGAUUCAAUCUGUCAUUUUUAAGCCUUUUGGGCUAUCCAGUGAAAAAUUAAAGAGACUGGCUGAUCAUUCAAGUAGAGGUUCUGGACAUCCAGGUACAAGGAUGUGGAACAUCAUGGACUUGGAAGUUUCCUCAGAAUUAUCAUUGAUACUUUCACUAUGUGCUGCCUGACCAAAGAUGGCAGUAAUGAAAAUAUUGAUUCCCUUGAGGAAGUCCUUAAUAUUUUAGCAGAGGAAAGCUCUGAUUGGUUUUAUGGCUUUCUCUCAUUUCUCUAUGAUGUAUUGACUCCUUUUGAAAUACUAGAAGAAGAAGAGAGCGAAGCUGCAGAUGAUGUUGAUGGUACGUCACAGAAUGAA